UGCAAUACAGAAUAAAUUAUCACUCUGUGGCAGGCGUGGUUCUAAAAAUCAGAUGAAACAAACUAAAGUCCUAGUACAAGGUCAAGAAGGUUUUGAAAAAAAUGUCCUGCUGGUUGACAUUGAAUUAAGAACAAUAUGUUAUAUUGUUAUGAAUUUGUUUUACUUAAGGUAUUCUUGUUUUGGCCAAGGACCUUUUUGGCCAAAGCAUUUCUUACAUUUUAUAACAUUUGGAAAGUUAUGACAAUUAUCUUCAACUCCAGCUUUUGUCAGUGUAGAAACCAUACCUAAUCCAAUUUUCUCACCACUCACACAAUAGUAACAGCACACAACAAAAACGUUUUCCUCAGGUGAUGUCUCGAGAACGUACUGCCAAAGCUAAGAAAUUAUGUCAUUUUGUUUUUGCAGAGAAGAACAAAUUGUUCUGUAUCCACACAAUAUAUUUAGAUCUCAUUUUAACUCUCGCUAGCUGAUGCAAUUUGUCAAUAUAUGAUAUGUUCGCUUAAUUUGAAAUUGACAGAAUAUUUUAGAACCAUCUGUAUUUUCUAAAGCAACAGCUGCAGUCUUCUGGCUUUAUAUGAGCUGUCAAAAAACAAUGCUGAUAGUACCAGGCUUCCCUAAAAUAUUUGUUCCCCUCCUUAUUGUGAUGCCAGCAGUAGUGGAGGGUGCUAUAUCUCAGUACUUUGUGCUGUAUUUAUAAACCAUUUAUUAAAGUUGCAAUUAAAGAGCCAAACUUUUCUAGUUAUAGUUUGAUACUUCAUUAAAUUAACUUCAAUCACAUGCUUUAAAAUCAAGUACUUUGCAGUAUUAAUAUCACUAUUGCAUGGUCUACAUUUGGUUUGCGAUUGUUUUAAAGUGUUUAUUUGACCAUUUGAGCUAUCCAUGCUUUAUGAAUUUGCAUUUUAGCAUCCGUUCUGUCAUAUAAUCUUGAUAAAGUGCAAUACAAUUUAAUAUAGUUAUAUGUUUUCCUGUUAUUUAUUAUUUUAGACAACAGAAAUCAACACACUCAUUUUCAGUAAAAUAUGUGUACACUGCCAUCUAGUGUCAAUCUACCACACCAUAACAGGAGGUUUUCUAUAAUGGAAACAUAAAACCUCUAUUCAGCUUCUAAAAUAAAAUAAUAAUUCAGUAGUUUAUAGUGAAACUCCCUUCUUCAGUUUAAAAGCUUUGCUGCAACAUGAUUUUAAACUUGCAAAACAUCAAGCAACACUGGAGGAGACACAAUGAUGGAGAAUUUAAGGCUAAGACAAACAGUAUUUAGUUCCACCUCAGUUCCACUUGUAUUAUUGAAUGUAUGUAAUUUAAAACUUCUUGAUUAUUUAGACCCCUCCUCUCACCCGAAACGUUCGCUGAAGAUAGGCACCAGCACCCCUCCCAACCCUAGGGACAAGGGUGUAUAGAAAAUGGAUGGAUGGAUGGAUGGAUGGAUGGAUGGAUGGAUGGAUGGAUGAUUAUUUAGAUCUGAAAGAGGCCAUUCAUGAGAAGGAUCUCUUUAUGGACAGUUUUACUCUUUUUGAUGUAAAUAAGGUUAUUUUCAACACUUUUAAGUUGGGUUUUCAGCCACAAUACAGUGUACCUUGUUCCUCAGCAGAAUUUUUUUUCAUUUUCUUUCUUAAUGCUUUUCUAUAAAACAUGAGUUUGUGAAUAAUUGGUGUUAUAAAGAAAACUUUGAGUCGGCUUUCCUUACUGUCACAUUCAGAAAUCAGCUCAGUAGGUAUUAGGAUGAUACUAAGUGGUGGAACUCGUGAGCAGCAAUUAUCAAACAUCCUCAGUCAUGAUGUGGUAGAAUCUGCACAAAGAACCUGAGUUCAGGUUCUGGCAAGAAAGAGGCUGUAAGUAAGAAUACCUUCAUAUGAAUGCAGGCACAGGGGAUGAUCACAAGAGAGUCUCAAAAAACUCUAGUUAAACAAAAAAGUGGGACAUCAAGAUGGUGGAGGCAACAUAUUGUUUGAAUGCCCUUCUUCCCUUCCCGCUUUUAUAGAAAGCAACAAUGUGAAAUAUCUUACAAAACGUUUAAAGUGUAUUACUCAACAGCCAGUGUUGAAUGCAAAACCUAACCCCAAUAAAUCACUUGUUCCCAUGUCCCAUGUCCCAUCAACAUUGCUUAUGCCAAUUGAAAUAAAAAGUCAAUAUUGGCUUGAAAUAACAUGGAUCAAACUGGCUAGUGUACAAUUACCCACCAGUUACAUCAGUAGUAACUGAUGGUUGAGACCAUAGCAGAGUGAUUGUGUGAGGUCUAUUCUUAUAUGAAGGUUUGUGCUGCACCCAGAUAAACCAGCAGCCAGAUUUUAGUGACUGUUACGGCUGUCUAUGUCAUCAGUGGAUGUAUAUUUAUAAAAUCAACCAUAAACCAUUUAAAAUGUUUAUGACAAAGAAAGAGAGUCAAGCAGAAAAAUGUAGCAAAAUUAUGGUCUUAUUGAAAUUUACAAAUAAUACUAAAUGUAAAUGCAUACAUUUCAUUUGUAUACAUAGAAGUAUGUAGUUUUAAUUUAUAAGGACUCUGAGUAUGAGCAUGUGCUUUGUUUUUUCUCUUCAGUUCUUGAGUGGACUGUCUACUUUUCUGUAGUGAGCUAAAUCUCCAUUGACACUGAUAUUGACAAAAAGCAGUUCGGUUUCAACAAGUAUGUAUUGUUCACUUACAACAUGAUGAAAUAAGUGUGUGCUUCACACAUUAUGUGUUAUGUGGUUAAUAUUUAACACAUGUUCGUUGUCAAGAUAACCCGAGAUCAUCCCAUUAUUCCCAUGCAGGAGAUUUUAGGUUCUCUUUUAGUUCUCAGUGUCAGCAUUAAGAAAAGAUAGGUUAGAUAAGAUGAUGGAUUUUUAUUUGAUUACUUCUGCUACUGAAAUUAAACUGUACUGACCCUCUUAAAAUUGCCUUAGUAAUAAACUAUUUAGCAUAAAGAAAAUCUAAAGGAAGUUGUGGACAUUCAGUUAAAAAAGUGUCACCUCAAAGUUCUGUGACGGUUGUAAAAUAGCAAUGACGCUUAAUUCUGGAGAGAAAAAGGUGGUUAAAGUUUUAAUAGGUUGCCUUAGACCAAUAAAUUAUAUGUAAAACAACAUUCUUGGGAUUCGCACAAGUCACUAAAAAGAACCUGGUUCAGAAACAAGUGCACAUUCUAACAAAGAGGAAGAGAGACUGUUAACAGGUGUGCUCUGUGAAACAGGCUGCUGAGCCUGGCUAAUUCACAGGGGGAAGCAGGAUGGGACACUCAGAUGGAGGCCAGCUUACAGAGAGUUUAUCUCAGUUCUGGACAAGGUCAUACCCGGCAGACUUAGGAAACUCAAUUUAGCAGUUAGAUUGAGAGCUGGUAGCGCGUCUCAUCCUCUCAGAAGAAGAAGGUGGGAAAGGGAGGCUGGGGGAGUCGUGCAGCUACAACAUUGUCUAGACAAUAUCAGCAGUAGGUCUACAUCAGGGAUGAAACAUUUGCACAUUAAAUUAAUGAGUAACUGAUGCUAAGAUUACAGAGUCAAAUCUGAUGGGACUGUUUACAUUUCUCUGGGGAAGUUGUCAUUGUCAUAUGGUAAAUGUUUAAUUUGGUACCUCUUUUUCAGUACUUGCAGCUUCUGAAUAGGUGUGCACAUUUUAAGGAAGAUGACUGCUUAAUCAUAAACAGUCAUUGUCUGUUUGAUACUCCACACUAGAAGUAAAGAUAUUUGAAGAAGGUUAAUAUUAUCUUCAAUGAUAAUUUUAUUUACUGGAAUAAAAUUAUUUUGUAAAACCAAACAAGGAAAACAAAUAGUUCCAGCAUUUCAUUUACAAGGUGAGACAUUUGAAUUUUUAAAUAUUGAUUGUUUCAGCUUGUCAGUGUUUUUACUUUUGGACAUACCUGGAAAGGAAGAUUAAAAUCUAAUAAAUUGCAUAAAAUAUUGCUAAUUUAUUUGUUGUUGUUGUUAUUAAACAAUGUAGUAAGAAGUUCCUGUUAUUUUGUCUGUCUUAACCUGCUGUUUUUUCAAUAUAUGGGAGAAAAAAAUGUAAGGGGGUCUAUUUCCACAUAAUAAUUAGUCCUUUUGAUUUAUUUAACUACUGAAUGACACUUCUUGCCAAAUUAUGUUUUCGAAAUACUAGAAGAUAGUUACAUGGUAAAAGGACACUACAUAAAUCUAAGUUCAUAUUGAUCGUCAAUUAAUUUAUUUAAUUUUCUUUUAAAGUGUAUAAAUAAGAUUAUCACAGAUGGUUUAUGUUGUUUGCAGAGUAAGAUUGACAUCAGCUCAACAAACAUGACUGGACCUCUGAUGAUUCUUCUCAUUGGCUCUUUACUACAAGGCUCCAACUUUAACAGAUAUGAGGCUAACUUGCCACAGAUUGUACAAGUUAUGACAGGAUCAUGUCUGACGGUGCCCUGCUCCUUUGAUGUAGCGGAUCAAAGCGCCUUAAAUAACCAAUGUCAAGCUAUUUGGCGUUCCCGAAGCACAGGCAAUGCCCAACAGCUUGCUGACAGAAAUCCACAAACAGGAGACUUAACAAAGAAAAACUGCACCACAACUUUCAACAAUAUGCAGCCUGGUCACACCAGGGAUUAUUACUUCAGAAUCGACUGUAGCAAUUUUCUAAAAUACAGUUUUUACCCACCAUAUGUAAAAAUUGAUGUCACAGAUAAUUUUCCCUCACCAACUCUGACUCCGUCCACACUGAAGAUAAAAGAAGGAGAGUCAGUGAGUCUGAUGUGCUCUGCUCCGGCUCCAUGUCUGCCUCAUCCUCCAACUCUGAUUUGGACCCCAAAACUGGGGGACAUUCAGGAAACACUGCAGGAGAAUCUGGACAAAACUAAAUUCAAGACGUCUGUUAUGAACUUUACUGCUUCUCACCUCCACAAUAAACAGAACAUUUCCUGCACUGCUGUGUACAAGAAACAAGAUGGAAGCUCUGAUGCUGGUCUUUCAACACGCUUAAUUCCAGAUGUUUUGUAUUCCCCUAAGAAUGUCACAGUUUCAGUCAGUCCCUCUGGUCCGGUUGUAGAGAACAGCAAUGCGACUCUGACAUGUAACAGUGAUGCCAACCCAGCAGAGCAGAAUUACACCUGGCAUGGAGUUGAUGGAUCCAAGGAAAUUGUCAUUGGAAAUGAAAAGAUUUUAAACAUCAUAGUGUCUACAAGCAAAAAGAGGUUUUUUUGCAUGGCUGAAAAUGAUCUUGGCGAAAAACCUUCAAACAUCAGUGACAUAGAUGUUCUGUUUCCUUCACGGAUAUUAUUUUCAUCUAAAUGCAUGAAAACUUCAAAUCAGGUCAACUGUUCCUGUGAAACAGUAGGAAACCCGUCUCCAACAACACAUUGGUACUUGAAUGGGAAGCCAGUGAUUCAAUCUAGCCAGAUGGUGAUUACACAUGAGUUUCUAAAUAGCUCAUAUCUGAGGAGCAUCAUCACUGUUGAUGAACCACAGGACAGAGAUCUGUCCACCUUGCAGUGCUUCAGCUCCAAUUCUUUGGGUUCAUUCAGUAAAGGGUUUUGUGUCAGCUACCUUGACAACUCAAGAGAAAAUGAAGGUCAAAUCUGGAUGCCUGUCUCCAUUGCCAUUGUUGUAGUUUUUCUACUUAUAAUAUGCGCCUUGCUGCUUGUUGUCGGGUUUCAGAGGACUCACUAUCAACCUAAAAGUGUCACAGCAGCUUCAGGUCAACAUGGAGCCAAAGAGCAAACCAAGGCCGACAACUGCCAACCUUCAACUGGAACUGAUCUAAGCUGCAAUAAUCUGGAAAAAAUGAGUAAAAGCUCAGCAGACAAAAGUGAAGAUGUGAUGUAUGCUAGUUUAAAUUGGAGAGAAAAUAACAAAGCGAAGGAAGAAGGCUUUUACGUGAAUCUUGAACUGUCCGAUGUCUCCCGUUUGAAUGAGAAAAAGUGUGAGAAUGUGGGAGAACAUUCUGUGAGCAAUGAAGAAGAAAUAGGAAGUCUGCAUGCUGAAGAUAAGACUAAAAACAUAAGAAAGGAAUCAGAGGUUGUAUAUGCGCAGGUUAAAUUUCAGACCAAAACCCGAGUCUGAGUAAAUGAUCAUUCUCUGGACAUAAUAGUGAAAAUAAACUCAAGUGAAAUAAAAGUUUAACACUGAAAAUCAAGGAGGGUUUAAAAAGAACAAGGUCCUCAUGGUUUGCACUUAUUCAUUUCAUUCACCCAUUAGUACCCCGAUCAUACACAUCUAGACUUACACUAGAUGUGUAUGCUCGGGGUACGAUCAUACGUAGGUAUGAUCCUAAAAUGCACUCAUAGUUCAUGUAGGAUCAUAAAACUCUCUGUUAAAAUGUUUCCUAAGUACACAACAGAAAAAAUAUAAUGGUGCAUCAUACAGAAAGCAGCGAAAGUUAACAUGGAGUAUGCUUUAUGUGAGUUUGGUAUGAGGUCUGUCAUGACGGAGAUGUUCCUGUUGUUUGGUCACUUGGACAUUGAAAAGCAUGUGAAGCCCUGUGUGAUUUUUUGGAGCUAAUAUUGUCACAAUAAUUUGCAACUUAACAUCAAAAGACCUGAGCUGGGAUGUUUAUGAAUGAGGUUUGCAUGUCCAUUGCUUGCAGAGUCUUUUUCUCUGUUCUCACCUUCUCUGGUGGUUAAGUAAAUAACUGAUGGUUAAGUUGAGAUCACAGAGAGAAAAUAAAUAUAGGGCUGUUCCCAACUGUUUUCAUGUACAUGUUCUUUUGUACUUGUCAGUUUUUAAAUGAGUUCCUCCUUUGUUAAGACAUUUUCUGAUGCUUCUAAAAAAUAUGGUAAGUUCACUUUAAAGCAAGAUGACUUCUUUACUGAGCAUUUGAAUCCUGGGGUUAUUAGUGCACAGAUAUUUAAACAAGUGUUACAAUUUAAGAAGGAAAAGGGAAAGGAGUUGUGAGAGAUUUCUUCUGAGGUGAGGCGUGUCCACAUAUAAUGUUAAACUUUGCGCUUGUUUUUGGAGAUUAUGAAUUACAAACUUGUUUAAAAAGGUUACCUUUGUAAAUGUAAAUAAAAAUGCAGUCAAAUGUUUAAGGAAAUGUUUGGAGUUCUUGUGUUUGUUUAUUUAUGCUAACCACAUUUUUCUAACAUACUGAAUAAAAGAGAAGAGAUUGUA
This is an RNA transcript of Xiphophorus couchianus (Monterrey platyfish), 7014 nucleotides long. It is a transcript of the gene named B-cell receptor CD22-like, with no coding region annotated. The record is from RefSeq and is a predicted model, not a curated record. The transcript has 9 exons. NCBI's taxonomy places the organism in Eukaryota, Metazoa, Chordata, Actinopteri, Cyprinodontiformes, Poeciliidae.